This 74-nucleotide transfer RNA is filed under the name Bacteroidaceae bacterium. Its description in RNAcentral is "tRNA-Thr". It matches the Rfam family "tRNA". From Rfam's summary of the family: Transfer RNA (tRNA) molecules are approximately 80 nucleotides in length. Their secondary structure includes four short double-helical elements and three loops (D, anti-codon, and T loops). The record is from RNAcentral. Lineage: Bacteria; Pseudomonadati; Bacteroidota; Bacteroidia; Bacteroidales; Bacteroidaceae.
GCCCUCGUAGUAUUAAAGGCUAAGUACGCAUCUGUGGUAUGGAUGAGGUGUUGGUUCGAUUCCGACCGAGGGCU